This 429-nucleotide ribosomal RNA is filed under the name Gemmatimonadota bacterium. RNAcentral's name for it is "Gemmatimonadetes bacterium partial 16S ribosomal RNA". It matches the Rfam family "Bacterial small subunit ribosomal RNA", at positions 355 to 776 of the family's 1533-position model. Lineage: Bacteria; Pseudomonadati; Gemmatimonadota. The record is from RNAcentral.
UAGGGAAUCUUCGGCAAUGGACGAAAGUCUGACCGAGCAACGCCGCGUGAGUGAAGAAGGUUUUCGGAUCGUAAAACUCUGUUGUUAGAGAAGAACAAGGACGUUAGUAACUGAACGUCCCCUGACGGUAUCUAACCAGAAAGCCACGGCUAACUACGUGCCAGCAGCCGCGGUAAUACGUAGGUGGCAAGCGUUGUCCGGAUUUAUUGGGCGUAAAGCGAGCGCAGGCGGUUUCUUAAGUCUGAUGUGAAAGCCCCCGGCUCAACCGGGGAGGGUCAUUGGAAACUGGGAGACUUGAGUGCCGAAGAGGAGAGUGGAAUUCCAUGUGUAGCGGUGAAAUGCGUAGAUAUAUGGAGGAACACCAGUGGCGAAAGCGGCUCUCUGGUCUGUAACUGACGCUGAGGCUCGAAAGCGUGGGGAGCAAACAGG